GUGAGGAAUAUUGCGCAAUGGAGGCAACUCUGACGCAGCCAUGCCGCGUGCAGGAAGAAGGCGCUACGCGUUGUAAACUGCUUUUAACCGGGAAGAAACCCCAGGACGUGUCCUGGGUUGACGGUACCGGAGGAAUAAGCACCGGCUAACUUCGUGCCAGCAGCCGCGGUAAUACGAAGGGUGCAAGCGUUAUCCGGAUUCAUUGGGUUUAAAGGGUGCGUAGGCGGAGCGUUAAGUCAGUGGUGAAAUCCUGCAGCUUAACUGUAGACUUGCCAUUGAUACUGGCGCUCUUGAGUGCGCUGGAAGUGGGCGGAAUGUGCCGUGUAGCGGUGAAAUGCUUAGAUAUGGCACAGAACACCAAUUGCGAAGGCAGCUCACUAAGGCGAUACUGACGCUGAGGCACGAAAGCGUGGGGAUCGAACAGGAUUAGAAACCCGUGUAGUCC
RNAcentral lists this ribosomal RNA (445 nucleotides) under uncultured bacterium. RNAcentral describes it as "bacterial SSU rRNA". It matches the Rfam family "Bacterial small subunit ribosomal RNA", at positions 354 to 796 of the family's 1533-position model. The record is from RNAcentral.